CAGUCGCCGCGGGAAUACAAAGGGUGCGAGCGUUAAUCGGAUUUACUGGGCGUAAAGCGUGCGUAGGCGGCUUCUUAAGUCGGAUGUGAAAUCCCUGAGCUUAACUUAGGAAUUGCAUUCGAUACUGGGAAGCUAGAGUAUGGGAGAGGAUGGUAGAAUUCCAGGUGUAGCGGUGAAAUGCGUAGAGAUCUGGAGGAAUACCGAUGGCGAAGGCAGCCAUCUGGCCUAAUACUGACGCUGAGGUACGAAAGCAUGGGGAGCAAACAGGAUUAGAUACCCGCGUAGUCCCUGUCUCUUAUAC
RNAcentral lists this ribosomal RNA (301 nucleotides) under uncultured bacterium. RNAcentral's name for it is "partial 16S ribosomal RNA". It matches the Rfam family "Bacterial small subunit ribosomal RNA", at positions 509 to 807 of the family's 1533-position model. The record is from RNAcentral.